UAACUGCCACUAAAGAAAGUCUACAAGAAACAUGGGCAGUUAACUGCCAUUGAAGAUAGAGUCUGCGAGAGACUGACAGUUAACUGCCAUUAGAGAAUGUCUAUAAGUGACUUGGAAGUGAAAUGUCAUCUUUGAAAAGGCUUGAAAAGACACUUUGAGAAAAGGAGAUGAACAGUUAACUGACACUGCUGAGGAGAACUGAGUAAAACGUCAUUCUGAAAGGAACUGAGUUGAGACAUUCUGAAGAAAACUAGUCUUUUUUCAGUAUUUUGGAGGACUGAGCAGGAAUCAGCAACCUCUUCAGCUCUGAAGGCCACCAGCAUAACUCAUCACAG
Molecule: long non-coding RNA, 335 nt
Filed under: Phascolarctos cinereus (koala)
Lineage: Eukaryota; Metazoa; Chordata; Mammalia; Diprotodontia; Phascolarctidae
Description: lncRNA (ENSPCIG00000030017.2)
Source: RNAcentral